RNAcentral lists this ribosomal RNA (460 nucleotides) under uncultured bacterium. RNAcentral describes it as "partial 16S ribosomal RNA". It matches the Rfam family "Bacterial small subunit ribosomal RNA", at positions 338 to 795 of the family's 1533-position model. The record is from RNAcentral.
CCUACGGGAGGCAGCAGUGAGGAAUAUUGGUCAAUGGGCGAGAGCCUGAACCAGCCAAGUCGCGUGAAGGAUGACGGCCCUACGGGUUGUAACCUCUUUUUGUCAGGGCGAAAUUGGGUCCACGCGUGGGCUUAGCGAGAGUACCUGAAGUAAAAGCAUCGGCUAACUCCGUGCAAGCAGACGCGGUAUUACGGAGGAAGCGAGCGUUAUCCGGAUUUAUUGGGUUUAAAGGGUGCGUAUGCGGAGAAUUAAGUCAGCGGUAAAAACUCGGGGCUCACUCCGGCAGUGCCGUUGAUACUGUUGUUCUUGAGUGGGCGAGAGGUAUGCGGAAUGCUUGGUGUAGCAGUGAAAUGCAUAGAUAUCACGAAGAACUCCGAUUGCGAAGGCAGCAUACCGGCGCGCAACUGACGCUGAAGCACGAAAGCGUGGGUAGCGAACAGGAUUAGAUACCCCAGUAGUC